RNAcentral lists this ribosomal RNA (460 nucleotides) under uncultured bacterium. RNAcentral describes it as "bacterial SSU rRNA". It matches the Rfam family "Bacterial small subunit ribosomal RNA", at positions 28 to 485 of the family's 1533-position model. The record is from RNAcentral.
GACGAACGCUGGCGGCGUGCUUAACACAUGCAAGUCGAGCGGUAAGGCCCUUUCGGGGGUACACGAGCGGCGAACGGGUGAGUAACACGUGGGUGACCUGCCCUCAGCUCUGGGAUAAGCCUGGGAAACCGGGUCUAAUACUGGAUAUGACUCCAUGACGCAUGUUGUGGGGUGGAAAGCCUUGUGCGGCUGAGGAUGGGCCCGCGGCCUAUCAGCUUGUUGGUGGGGUGANGGCCUACCAAGGCGACGACGGGUAGCCGGCCUGAGAGGGCGACCGGCCACACUGGGACUGAGACACGGCCCAGACUCCUACGGGAGGCAGCAGUGGGAAUAUUGGACAAUGGGCGCAAGCCUGAUCCAGCAACGCCGCGUGGAGGACGAAGGUCUUCGGAUCGUAAACUCCUGUCAGGUGGGACGAAGGUUUGGGGUGAUAGCUCUCAAGCUUGACGGUACUACCAGA